Molecule: ribosomal RNA, 438 nt
Filed under: uncultured bacterium
Lineage: Bacteria
Description: partial 16S ribosomal RNA
Rfam family: Bacterial small subunit ribosomal RNA
Source: RNAcentral
CUACGGGGUGCAGCAGUGGGGAAUAUUGCACAAUGGAGGAAACUCUGAUGCAGCAACGCCGCGUGGAGGAUGACACUUUUCGGAGCGUAAACUCCUUUUAUAUAGGAAGAUAAUGACGGUACUAUAUGAAUAAGCACCGGCUAACUCCGUGCCAGCAGCCGCGGUAAUACGGAGGGUGCAAGCGUUACUCGGAAUCACUGGGCGUAAAGAGCGUGUAGGCGGGUUAAUAAGUCAGAAGUGAAAUCCUAUGGCUCAACCAUAGAACUGCUUUUGAAACUGUUAACCUAGAGUGUGGGAGAGGUAGAUGGAAUUUCUGGUGUAGGGGUAAAAUCCGUAGAGAUCAGAAGGAAUACCGAUUGCGAAGGCGAUCUACUGGAACAUAACUGACGCUGAGACGCGAAAGCGUGGGGAGCAAACAGGAUUAGAUACCCAGUAGUC